ACUGCCUCUCCGCGUGGACCACAGGCCCUCAGGCUGACCUCGCUGUGCCUUCCCUCGUCAUGCUUCCAGGGCUCUUCCUUGUUGGUGGUGAAGUGGCCCUCUUCUGAGUCCAGUUAGAUUGUGGCAGCACUCACUGUGAAGUGCAAGUGGUCCUCAUGUCAUUUUUGUACCGGCCUACGGGGACCAUGACAGUAAGGAGGACUUUGAUAGAAGGAAUCGAUGGGAUACAUACAAACCGUGGUUAGCGUGGACCUGCUAAACACAGGCAGCUGACAGAGCUCACCGAAGAACACGCGGCUGCCGCCAGCACCCUGCGCAUCUGAGUGUGCGGCCCUAGUGGUCGGUUUCUCUGGUCAGAGAACAGGAUGGGCCCGUGAUGACGGUGAUAAAAUGCGAUAAAAUGCGUGCCUUUGUCUCUCCUUGGAAAUAACUGGUAGCCUCCAUUCCCGAAGCACUCUAGCAUCCACUCCAGCCAAUAAACGUCUUCCUUUAAUCUCCAGUGACGGAUAGCACCCUAAUCCCCGCACACAAGAAUGACUUCAACUCCUCUCUUUGCCAUCCCGGUUUUUUGACAUCCGUGGUCCACGAUCUUUAGUUUGUUUCAAAUGCAAAAAAAAUCGCUGUAGGGUGGGACCCUUGAAGGUUAAUCUGGCUUGUUUGCAUAUCAGAAGAAGGGCGUGGUCACUUUAAAGGCACAGCCAAUAAAAUGAGUUCCAUCACUUAUUUAUUAGAGAUCAGAACAAUUGUUCUUUUCUAGUUCCUCUCCCAGCUCACAAUCAAGCGCUCCUCAGAGCUAGGGGAAUCUUUUCAAGCUUCUCCCCCAGAACCAAGGGAAGUGAUUGUUCUUUUUCCUUUUCCUUGCUCUCCCCUAAAGGCAGUAUUUUUCCAAUUUAGACCCGCUCUUCCUCCGAAGGAAGCCAGCCCCGCCAGUUCUGCGCUUCCGAGCAGCGGACAGAAAAGGUGGCCGGCAGGUUUGCAGCUGAGCUUGUACCUCCACCUGUCCUCUUCCACAGUGCUGGGAGCCGCACAGCCACUCUGCCUGUUUUCUCCUCCUCUGUCCUUAGCAGCCCAGUCCUCACCAACAGCACCUCCACACGUCCCAGUUUUUGGACCUAAACUUCCUGCACAGUCUUAGUCUUUUUCCACUUAUAAAACUUCCACUUUUAUUUGCACUUCCGUCUUCAUCUCCUCACCUCUACUUUGUCCCGGCCUCUGUUAUCACCACUUCAGAGCACGUGGGCAGGGUGGCUGACACCUUCCACGCCGCACCCAAGACUAUUUUUUCCAGUUAUUACCUCACCUAACAA
Chinchilla lanigera (long-tailed chinchilla) is the source of this 1307-nucleotide long non-coding RNA. RefSeq lists it as uncharacterized. The transcript has 3 exons. NCBI's taxonomy places the organism in Eukaryota, Metazoa, Chordata, Mammalia, Rodentia, Chinchillidae. The record is from RefSeq and is a predicted model, not a curated record.